AGCAGCCGCCGCGGGAAUACGAAGGGGGCUAGCGUUGUUCGGAAUUACUGGGCGUAAAGCGCACGUAGGCGGAUAUUUAAGUCAGGGGUGAAAUCCCAGAGCUCAACUCUGGAACUGCCUUUGAUACUGGGUAUCUUGAGUAUGGAAGAGGUGAGUGGAAUUCCGAGUGUAGAGGUGAAAUUCGUAGAUAUUCGGAGGAACACCAGUGGCGAAGGCGGCUCACUGGUCCAUUACUGACGCUGAGGUGCGAAAGCGUGGGGAGCAAACAGGAUUAGAUACCCGUGUAGUCCCUGUCUCUUAUAC
RNAcentral lists this ribosomal RNA (303 nucleotides) under uncultured bacterium. RNAcentral's name for it is "partial 16S ribosomal RNA". It matches the Rfam family "Bacterial small subunit ribosomal RNA", at positions 507 to 807 of the family's 1533-position model. The record is from RNAcentral.